UGCAACACACCUGAUUGAAAUGACCAGGAUCGUUAUAAGGAUCCUGAAGAGCUUGCUGAUGCGCUGUCCAUAUAUGGCUACAAGCGAGCUGAAGGUAUCGUUAGCUCAACUUGCCGAUAUCGAAAGCAGGUGGAGGUGAAAGCUGGUAAACAAGCAUCCCGUGCAGACGGAGAGGCUGGAUGCUGAUGGAGAAGCGUCGCAGGAAGGAGGCCGCCUGUAAUUGUCCUGAUUUGCCCUGUAAAACUUGGAAAGUGACUGGAAUUAUGUGGCCCGUGUCCAGGUCACUGGGUCUUAAACUGCACAUUUGAAAGUGGACGGGCAAAUUGGUGCUGUUGUUAAAUCCAGUUUCUUUCAUCUUCGGCAGCUGAUUGAAUGUCAUUGUCUUUGCCUUACCGUGGUAAUGUG
Long non-coding RNA from Hippocampus comes (tiger tail seahorse), 405 nucleotides. RefSeq lists it as uncharacterized. Lineage: Eukaryota; Metazoa; Chordata; Actinopteri; Syngnathiformes; Syngnathidae. The transcript has 2 exons. The record is from RefSeq and is a predicted model, not a curated record.